UAACACGUAGGGGGCGAGCGUUGUCCGGAUUUAUUGGGCGUAAAGAGCUCGUAGGCGGCUCAGUAAGUCGGGUGUGAAAACUCUGGGCUCAACCCAGAGACGCCACCCGAUACUGCUGUGGCUAGAGUCCGGUAGGGGAGCGUGGAAUUCCUGGUGUAGCGGUGAAAUGCGCAGAUAUCAGGAGGAACACCAGCGGCGAAGGCGGCGCUCUGGGCCGGAACUGACGCUGAGGAGCGAAAGCGUGGGUAGCAAACAGG
Molecule: ribosomal RNA, 257 nt
Filed under: uncultured bacterium
Lineage: Bacteria
Description: partial 16S ribosomal RNA
Rfam family: Bacterial small subunit ribosomal RNA
Source: RNAcentral